Daphnia pulex (common water flea) is the source of this 73-nucleotide non-coding RNA. Lineage: Eukaryota; Metazoa; Arthropoda; Branchiopoda; Diplostraca; Daphniidae. The record is from Rfam.
GCCCGGUUAGCUCAGACGGUAGAGCGCGGGACUUUUAAACCUGAGGUUAAGGGUUCAAGUCUCUUAUCAGGCG